GCUGCUUGUGCAGGUUUGUUGUGGGAAUUGUCACUGCUAUUAUAGCCAAAAUUCCCUAACCAGAGCAGCCUAGAGGUCAGAGGUGUCCAGCAUGACUGACCAACGGGAAGGAGGAUUUGGAGGAUUUGGCCUUCAAUCCAGGUGAGCAGGGAUUGUACCAACAAAAACUGGACAGUGCACCCAGAUCCCCCAGACUCAGAACUAGAGGAAAGAAACAACUGUGAGCCUUGAAAUUGGUGGACCAUGCUGGCAAAUGACUGCAUACAAGCAAUGUUCUGUGAGGUUUUUUCUCAUAGGAUGGAAGUUGAGAGCUUCCCCUGCAGAUUGGCUCUAUGAUAUGUCUCAUCAAACUAUCAGCUCACUUAAGAAAAGUGAAUAAUGAUAACAGUCCCUCCUCCCCCACAUAGCCACAAGCUUACUGUAUACCAGACAUUGUUUAUGCCCCUGGAUUAAUUCGUGUGAUUCUCAUAAGCUACUACAACAUAGAGACUAUUGCUGUCCCCAUUCUACCAGUGAGCCUAUAAGUCCCUCCCUUUACUGGCUUGCUGAGAGCCACAGCCGAGUCUGUAUGGCCCCUGGCAUUUUGCCAACAGUAUUGAUUGACAGGCGAGGCAUUACUAUCCGCCUCUGCCGCUACUUUUGAGUUCUCGCACUAUUUUGGAGUUCUCCUAGGGAUUUCCAGGGAUUCCCAGAGAGUUCCCAUUGGUUGGGGAAGUGCAGGAGGAGGGAUUUCCGGGAGAGAUAUUUCCGGCUGGGGGUUUCCUGGGCAAGCCGCGUGGCAUUCAAGAGAAUUCCCCAGGAGCGUGUGUGAGGUUUUUUCUUG
Molecule: long non-coding RNA, 823 nt
Filed under: Marmota monax (woodchuck)
Lineage: Eukaryota; Metazoa; Chordata; Mammalia; Rodentia; Sciuridae
Source: RNAcentral